UACGGGAGUGGCAAGCGUUAUCCGGAUUUACUGGGUGUAAAGGGAGCGUAGACGGAUAGGCAAGUCUGGAGUGAAAGCCCGGGGCUCAACCCCGGGACUGCUUUGGAAACUGUUUAUCUAGAGUGCUGGAGAGGUAAGUGGAAUUCCUAGUGUAGCGGUGAAAUGCGUAGAUAUUAGGAGGAACACCAGUGGCGAAGGCGGCUUACUGGACAGUAACUGACGUUGAGGCUCGAAAGCGUGGGGAGCAAACAGGAUUAGAUACCCCGG
This 267-nucleotide ribosomal RNA is filed under the name uncultured bacterium. Its description in RNAcentral is "partial 16S ribosomal RNA". It matches the Rfam family "Bacterial small subunit ribosomal RNA", at positions 524 to 790 of the family's 1533-position model. The record is from RNAcentral.